RNAcentral lists this ribosomal RNA (710 nucleotides) under Libertella blepharis. RNAcentral's name for it is "eukaryotic LSU rRNA". It matches the Rfam family "Eukaryotic large subunit ribosomal RNA", at positions 680 to 1388 of the family's 3401-position model. The record is from RNAcentral. Lineage: Eukaryota; Fungi; Ascomycota; Sordariomycetes; Xylariales.
AUUUGUGGCGAGUGUUUGGGGUUUAAACCCUCAGGCGUAAUGAAAGUGAACGGAAGGUGAGAAGCCAUUGGUGCAUCAUCGACCCGAUCCCUGAUGUCUUCGGAUGGAUUUGAGUAAAGAGGCAUAACUGUUCGGACCCGAAAAGAUGGUGAACUAUGCGUGGAUAGGGUGAAGCCAGAGGAACCUCUGGUGGAGGCUCGCAGCGGUUCUGACGUGCAAAUCGAUCGUCAAAUCUGCGCAUGGGGGCGAAAGACUAAUCGAACCAUCUAGUAGCUGGUUACCGCCGAAGUUUCCCUCAGGAUAGCAGUGUUGUCUUCAGUUUUAUGAGGUAAAGCGAAUGAUUAGGGACUCGGGGGCGCCAUAUAGCCUUCAUCCAUUCUCAAACUUUAAAUAUGUAAGAAGCCCUUGUUACUUAAUUGAACGUGGGCAUUCGAAUGUACCAACACUAGUGGGCCAUUUUUGGUAAGCAGAACUGGCGAUGCGGGAUGAACCGAACGCGGGGUUAAGGUGCCAGAGUGGACGCUCAUCAGACACCACAAAAGGCGUUAGUACAUCUUGACAGCAGGACGGUGGCCAUGGAAGUCGGAAUCCGCUAAGGACUGUGUAACAACUCACCUGCCGAAUGUACUAGCCCUGAAAAUGGAUGGCGCUCAAGCGUCUCACCCAUACCUCGCCCUCAGGGUAGAAACGAUGCCCUGAGGAGUAGGCGG